UUAAUGUGAGUGCCUUCAUAAUAACAACAAAACUGUGUGCUUUUGGCAAAUAAAGAAAAUAAACAGGGAGUGCAUUUCGACAUCUCUGUCUCCUUGACCAUUUUCCUCAAACACGUUUCAAACAUGAACUGAUAACUCCGCCAAUACUUGUCACACGAACAUGAUACAUAUGUCUAAAGAAAGCCUGAAAUGUCUACUUUUACAUGAUGUAAUUAAAAUUUGAAGAACUCAUUGUCUGUUUGUGUAAUCGACAUGUAAGUAAAGAGAGGUACAGUUUUUCUGGCUCGACCUCAUUAGCGCUAAUGUGAUCCCACCUACCGUGUGCGCGCCAUUCAUAUGGAAAUUACCUGAUGCGGGCUAUGCAAACAAGAUCAACGCCCCCAAACAAUGCUUUAAGAAGCAGCGAGUUUUGACAGUUUCAUCCACUUAUCAACGCGCUGGGAAGAUGACACGCUUUACAGGUGAGGAAGCUAUACAGAUGCUCCUGGCAGCGAGGAAGAGUUCACUGUUUCUUCAGACGAAGAGCAGGACUCCCACGAUGAACGUUUGUUUUUUGAAGAGCGACUUGAUCCAGCUGAGGAUAUAAUUUCUGAAGAGUAAGUUUUACAUACAUUUGUUGAAAUGUUGUGUGAUGUAAACUUUUAUAUACUGUAUACUGACUAUUUGCACGCAGAUAUUCAUAAUGACUUUAUAGAAACGUCUCGUAAUUGGCAACUUGUUUACAUUAAAAUGAUAGUUCUUACAUUAAACCGUAUGCUGAUUAGUGUAAUGUGAAUAUGUUAUAAAGCAAUAUCACUACUAUAACUAUAGUGUCCAUGCCGACUUAUCAAUAAGGCUUCUUUAUUUGCUCGGGUGUAACAUUGUGCUGUAAAUGAGCCCGGAGAUAUGUCAUGCGUUAAACAGUAUGAUUGUAUGGUGUGAUGUAAAUAUACAAUAUGUCAUAAAACAAUAUCACUAUUUAGAAUAUAUUUUGACUAGUGUUUAUGCCUCAACAAGUCUUGUUUACGCGACUAUCGUUCGGGUGUAAAUGUAUCGAUGUAGUAUCGAUGUGCUGUAAAUGUGUCUGGAGAUAUGUAAUGUGUUAAUGUUUAGCCAUAACCGGUAAUGGCCCGUUAACAAAGAUAUACCGCAUCUAUGUACCCAAUUAUCUUAUCUCAACUAUGCUUUACCGCCUUAGUAUUGCUUUAUAAGUUUGUUACUGUGGAGAAUACAUGAUAUUAAUUAUUAAAAACUUUUGUAGGAAUGUGACAGCAUCACUCUCCUCUUCAGCGGGCAUUUGCAGAAAUGCGACGGACAUUCAUAAAGGUAACGUGGCUUCAUCGUCAUUUACUCGCACGGGGGCAUGCAGAAACGAACCCGAAAUUCAUAAAGUGAAUGUGUCUGCAACACCAACUUCGUCUGGUACCCGCACGUUUUGAACAAUGGGACGACAACAUUUAACUCCAUUCCCAAAGAGUUACAGUGUGUGAUGGUUUACAAAUGUAUACCUUAUUUUUUUAUAUUUGGAAGUAUUUUUAGAUGCACACCAAACUUUCACAGCUGACCAUUUAGAAUCCUUUUCUUUUAAUUAGAGCCAUAU
Non-coding RNA from Misgurnus anguillicaudatus (oriental weatherfish), 1579 nucleotides. Lineage: Eukaryota; Metazoa; Chordata; Actinopteri; Cypriniformes; Cobitidae. The record is from RefSeq and is a predicted model, not a curated record.